UGGGGUGUAGCUCAGUGGUAGAGUGCUUGCCUGCCUAGCAAGUACAAGACCCUGGGUUCAAUCUCUAACACUGCAA
This 76-nucleotide transfer RNA is filed under the name Marmota marmota marmota (Alpine marmot). It matches the Rfam family "tRNA". Rfam says of the family: Transfer RNA (tRNA) molecules are approximately 80 nucleotides in length. Their secondary structure includes four short double-helical elements and three loops (D, anti-codon, and T loops). The record is from Rfam by way of RNAcentral. Lineage: Eukaryota; Metazoa; Chordata; Mammalia; Rodentia; Sciuridae. RNAcentral also lists the same sequence under 1 other name.